GACGAACGCUGGCGGCGUGCCUAACACAUGCAAGUCGAACGGAGUAUCCAGCAAUGGAUGCUUAGUGGCGAACGGGUGAGUAACGCGUAGACAACCUGCCUCUAAAUUGGGGACAACACCGCGAAAGUGGUGCUAAUACCGAAUGUGGUAUCUUGAUCGCAUGAUCGAGAUAAGAAAGGUGGCCUCUAUUAUAAGCUACCGAUUAGAGAUGGGUCUGCGUCUGAUUAGCUAGUUGGUGAGGUAAUGGCUCACCAAGGCGACGAUCAGUAGCCGGUCUGAGAGGAUGAACGGCCACACUGGGACUGAGACACGGCCCAGACUCCUACGGGAGGCAGCAGUGGGGAAUCUUCCGCAAUGGACGAAAGUCUGACGGAGCAACGCCGCGUGAGUGAAGAAGGUCUUCGGAUUGUAAAGCUCUGUCGUUUGGGACGAACGUGCUUGUUGUGAAUAAUGAUAAGUAAUGACGGUACCAAAGGAGGAAGCCACGGCUAACUACGUGCCAGCCGCCGCAGUAA
This 515-nucleotide ribosomal RNA is filed under the name uncultured bacterium. Its description in RNAcentral is "partial 16S ribosomal RNA". It matches the Rfam family "Bacterial small subunit ribosomal RNA", at positions 28 to 523 of the family's 1533-position model. The record is from RNAcentral.